CAGCCUUCAAGAAGUAGAGCUAAUAUCACGUGGCCCAAAACCCCCAUCAUAAAUCACAUUGUUAGUCUGUCUGGUAGCCAAAACCACUAGGUAAACAAAGAUACUCCUAUCAAGCAAAAUGUUCUAUGGGCCUGGAAAUCACCUCCUAGUAGCUGAGAGCAAAGGCCAGACCUCUCUUUGGCAUGGCUUGACAAGCAGUGCAUAGGUCUGUGCCUGGUAUCUGAACUGGCGAACCCCGGGCCGCCGAAGUGGAACGUGUGAAUUUAACUGCUGCACCACCAGGCCAGCCCCCAGCUGACCUUUAACUCAUAUGAACCACAAAAGGAAAGUGUGAGUCAGAGGGUAGUGUGGGAGAGACCCCAAGCCAAGACAAAUGAGAAUGCUCAGUGUAUUUUUGGAACUUGGUUGGCUGCAGGUACCUGAAACUGUGGAAAAU
Molecule: long non-coding RNA, 436 nt
Filed under: Equus asinus (donkey)
Lineage: Eukaryota; Metazoa; Chordata; Mammalia; Perissodactyla; Equidae
Description: lncRNA (ENSEASG00005037552.1)
Source: RNAcentral